UUGAGAAGCAAAUGAAAUAAAUAAUGGGGGAAGAAGAGAGAGUGGUGCGUCUAAACUCCAAAGAAGCGAAAGGAAAAGGGGAAGAGGCCGAGAAUUGAAACGCGUCUACUUCAGUUUUCACUUUCACUUCUUCUUCUUCUUCUUCUUCAACUCAUGAAAAUGAAAAUAACAUGAUAAAACCGCAACCACAUUUCCCAUUUUAACCCUCGGUCGCUGAAUCCACCGUCGUCUCAGAUCCGAAAUGAAGGGUCCGACCCGAUUAUUCACGAUCGGACUCAUAUCAUCAUGGUAUUCCUCCAACAUUGGCGUUCUCCUUCUCAACAAGUACCUUCUCUCCAACUAUGGCUUCAAGUACCCUAUCUUCCUCACCAUGUGCCACAUGACUGCGUGCUCCUUGCUCAGCUACGUCGCCAUCGCAUGGCUCAAGAUGGUUCCUCUUCAAACCCUACGCUCCCGCGUUCAGUUCUUCAAGAUCUCCGCUCUCAGCCUCGUUUUCUGCGUCUCCGUCGUCUUCGGCAACAUCUCGUUACGCUACCUUCCGGUGUCGUUUAAUCAGGCCGUUGGCGCAACCACGCCCUUCUUCACCGCCGUUUUUGCCUACCUUAUGACCUUCAAAAGAGAGGCUUGGCUCACUUACGUUACCCUAGUUCCGGUCGUCACCGGCGUCGUCAUUGCCAGCGGGGGUGAACCGAGCUUCCAUUUAUUUGGGUUCAUAAUAUGUGUUGCAGCUACAGCUGCCCGGGCACUGAAAUCAGUCUUGCAGGGAAUUUUGCUGUCUUCUGAAGGGGAGAAGCUGAAUUCUAUGAACCUUCUACUGUAUAUGGCUCCAAUGGCUGUUGUUUUCCUUCUUCCUGCUACAUUGAUAAUGGAAGAAAAUGUUGUUGGCAUUACUUUGGCUCUUGCCAGAGAUGAUGUGAAGAUCAUUUGGUACCUGCUAUUUAAUUCGGCACUCGCCUAUUUCGUUAACUUGACCAAUUUCUUGGUCACCAAACACACCAGCGCUCUCACCCUUCAGGCAUGCCUCACUCAUUCUUACUGCCCUGUGUUAUGGAAAUAUCUGAUUUUUUUUGUUUGGACCAUCGUUCAAGUAAUGAUUGAUCUAGCAUUCGAAAAUUAUUAAGAAAUUUUGGAAUCCAAAACUUUUUCUCUCAUUUAGUAGUUAAGGAUCUAGUAGGAGCAUAAAUCAUUUCCCUUUCUCUGCUUAUUGUCAACGAGAGUUCAUAGUGAGCUGAGUUAAGGACACUGAAAUUUUUCAAGGAAAUUCUGUCCGUAAGGUUCUUGGGAAUGCCAAAGGUGCUGUAGCAGUAGUAGUUUCAAUUCUGAUAUUUAGGAACCCAGUAUCAGUAACUGGAAUGAUGGGUUACUCCCUCACAGUCUUAGGAGUUGUACUUUACAGUGAA
Non-coding RNA from Arachis ipaensis, 1400 nucleotides. The record is from RefSeq and is a predicted model, not a curated record. Lineage: Eukaryota; Viridiplantae; Streptophyta; Magnoliopsida; Fabales; Fabaceae.